GGACCCGUAGCUCAGCUGGAUAGAGCGUCGCCCUCCGAAGGCGAAGGUCGAAGGUUCGAAUCCUUUCGGGUCCGCCA
Molecule: transfer RNA, 77 nt
Filed under: Acetobacter sp.
Lineage: Bacteria; Pseudomonadati; Pseudomonadota; Alphaproteobacteria; Acetobacterales; Acetobacteraceae
Also listed under: 38 other names
Description: tRNA-Arg
Rfam family: tRNA
About the family: Transfer RNA (tRNA) molecules are approximately 80 nucleotides in length. Their secondary structure includes four short double-helical elements and three loops (D, anti-codon, and T loops). Further hydrogen bonds mediate the characteristic L-shaped molecular structure. tRNAs have two regions of fundamental functional importance: the anti-codon, which is responsible for specific mRNA codon recognition, and the 3' end, to which the tRNAs corresponding amino acid is attached (by aminoacyl-tRNA synthetases). tRNAs cope with the degeneracy of the genetic code in two manners: having more than one tRNA (with a specific anti-codon) for a particular amino acid; and 'wobble' base-pairing, i.e. permitting non-standard base-pairing at the 3rd anti-codon position.
Source: RNAcentral